GACGAACGCUGGCGGCGUGCUUAACACAUGCAAGUCGAACGAUGAAGAAAAGAAUUGAAGCUUCGGCAGAAAUUCAUUUCGGAUUAGUGGCAGACGGGUGAGUAACGCGUGAGCAACCUACCUCUUACAAAGGGAUAGCCUCGGGAAACCGGGAUUAAUACCAUAUAACAUUGCGACGAAGCAUUUCGAUGCAAUCAAAGCUACGGCGGUAAGAGAUGGGCUCGCGUCCCAUUAACCAGAUGGUGAGGUAACGGCUCACCAUAGUAACGAUGGGUAACCGGCCUGAGAGGGUGAACGGUCACACUGGAACUGAGACACGGUCCAGACUCCUACGGGAGGCAGCAGUGGGGAAUAUUGCACAAUGGAGGGAACUCUGAUGCAGCGACGCCGCGCGAGUGAUGAAGGAAUUCGUUUCGUAAAACUCUGUUCUAUGGGAAGAAAAGGACUGUACCAUAGGAGAAAGCUCCGGCUAAAUACGUG
Molecule: ribosomal RNA, 480 nt
Filed under: uncultured bacterium
Lineage: Bacteria
Description: partial 16S ribosomal RNA
Rfam family: Bacterial small subunit ribosomal RNA
Source: RNAcentral